This 270-nucleotide unclassified non-coding RNA is filed under the name Hevea brasiliensis (rubber tree). The record is from RNAcentral. Lineage: Eukaryota; Viridiplantae; Streptophyta; Magnoliopsida; Malpighiales; Euphorbiaceae.
UCAAGAUACCGUAAAUGUUUCAAGGCACCAAUGGAAUGUGGCAACUCUUUAAUCUUAUAACCAGCUAGUGAUAGCACCCUUAAACAUUUCAACUUUGGCACCAAAUCAUGCACCACCUUACCUGCUAAAAAGUUACAUGCCCAUGGGUCAUCUGAUGAAAGUUUUGGCAGCGCUAAGAACGUUCUUAAACUAUUCAUUUCAUAGAAAACUUCAAACCUUUGGAAGAUCUCCGUGAAAUGACAAGUAAAUGCAGAAUGGCGAACCUUUGAA